GAUUAGAUACCCUGGUAGUCCACGCCGUAAACGAUGCUAACUCGUUUUUGGGCUUUCGGGCUCAGAGACCAAGCGAAAGUGAUAAGUUAGCCACCUGGGGAGUACGAACGCAAGUUUGAAACUCAAAGGAAUUGACGGGGGCCCGCACAAGCGGUGGAUUAUGUGGUUUAAUUCGAUGAUACGCGAGGAACCUUACCAAGACUUAAAUGGGAAUUGACAGGUUUGGAAACAGACCCUCCUUCGGGCAAUUUUCAAGGUGCUGCAUGGUUGUCGUCAGCUCGUGCCGUGAGGUGUUAGGUUAAGUCCUGCAACGAGCGCAACCCCUGUCACUAGUUGCUAACAUUUAGUUGAGGACUCUAGUGAGACUGCCUACGCAAGUAGAGAGGAAGGUGGGGAUGACGUCAAAUCAUCACGGCCCUUACGUCUUGGGCCACACACGUAAUACAAUGGCCGGUACAGAGGGCAGCUACACAGCGAUGUGAUGCAAAUCUCGAAAGCCGGUCUCAGUUCGGAUUGGAGUCUGCAACUCGACUCUAUGAAGCUGGAAUCGCUAGUAAUCGCGCAUCAGCCAUGGCGCGGUGAAUAUGUUCCCGGGCCUUGUACACACCGCCCGUCAAGCCAUGGAAGUUUGGGGUACCUGAAGUCGGUGACCGUAAAAGGAGCUGCCUAGGGUAAAACAAGUAACUAGGGCUAAGUCGUAACAAGG
RNAcentral lists this ribosomal RNA (706 nucleotides) under uncultured bacterium. Its description in RNAcentral is "bacterial SSU rRNA". It matches the Rfam family "Bacterial small subunit ribosomal RNA", at positions 776 to 1496 of the family's 1533-position model. The record is from RNAcentral.